UGAGGAAUAUUGGACAAUGGAUGGAAAUCUGAUCCAGCCAUGCCGCGUGAAGGAUUACGGUCCUAUGGAUUUUAAACUUCUUUUGUAUGGGAGCAAUAAGGGGCACGCGUGCUCUGAUGAGAGUACCAUACGAAUAAGCAUCGGCUAACUCCGUGCCAGCAGCCGCGGUAAUACGGAGGAUGCGAGCGUUAUCCGGAUUUAUUGGGUUUAAAGGGUGCGUAGGCGGCGACUGUAAGUCAGUGGUGAAAUUUUGAUGCUUAACAUUAAAAGUGCCAUAGAUACUGCAGGGCUAGAAUAGGGAUGCUGUCAGCGGAAUGUGUAGUGUAGCGGUGAAAUGCAUAGAUAUUACACAGAACACCGAUUGCGAAGGCAGCUGACAAAACCCUCAUUGACGCUGAAGCACGAAAGUGUGGGGAUCAAACAGG
RNAcentral lists this ribosomal RNA (425 nucleotides) under uncultured prokaryote. RNAcentral describes it as "bacterial SSU rRNA". It matches the Rfam family "Bacterial small subunit ribosomal RNA", at positions 355 to 776 of the family's 1533-position model. RNAcentral also lists the same sequence under 1 other name. The record is from RNAcentral.